GCCAGGUGUGGUAGCACAUGCCUGUAAUCCCAUAGACUUUGGAGGCUGAGGCAGGAGAAUUGCUAGUUUAAGGCCAGCCUUAGCAACGUAGCAAGGCCCUAAGCAACUUAGCAAGAUCCUGUCACAA
This 127-nucleotide small RNA is filed under the name Marmota monax (woodchuck). Lineage: Eukaryota; Metazoa; Chordata; Mammalia; Rodentia; Sciuridae. The record is from RNAcentral.